CGUGUGCACUUCUCGCUCUGCCACACCCCCACGGGAUACAGCAGUGAUAAAAAUUAAGCUAUGAAUGAAAGUUUGACUAAGCUAUAUUAAACAAGGGUUGGUAAAUUUCGUGCCAGCCACCGCGGUCAUACGAUUAACCCAAACUAAUAGACCCACGGCGUAAAGCGUGUUAUAGAGAAAAACUCAUACUAAAGUUAAACCUUAACUAGGCUGUAAAAAGCUACAAUUAACGUAAAAAUACAGCACGAAAGUAACUUUAACAUCUCCGACCACACGAUAGCUAAGACCCAAACUGGGAUUAGAUACCCCACUAUGCUUAGCCCUAAACCUAGAUAGUUUAACUAAACAAAACUAUCCACCAGAGAACUACUAGCAACAGCUUAAAACUCAAAGGACUUGGCAAUGCUUUAUAUCCCUCUAGAGGAGCCUGUUCUAUAAUCGAUAAACCCCAAUAUACCUCACCAUCUCUUGCUAAAUCAGCCUAUAUACCGCCAUCUUCAGCAAACCCUAAAAAGGGAAGAAAAGUAAGCACAAGUAUCU
Long non-coding RNA from Herpailurus yagouaroundi (jaguarundi), 540 nucleotides. RefSeq lists it as uncharacterized. The transcript has 3 exons. The record is from RefSeq and is a predicted model, not a curated record. Lineage: Eukaryota; Metazoa; Chordata; Mammalia; Carnivora; Felidae.